Molecule: long non-coding RNA, 1887 nt
Filed under: Homo sapiens (human)
Lineage: Eukaryota; Metazoa; Chordata; Mammalia; Primates; Hominidae
Description: INHBA antisense RNA 1, transcript variant 2 (INHBA-AS1)
Source: RNAcentral
UCCUUCUCCUGGUGUCCAUUUCUGGAACUGCUAUUUGUAUAUUGCAUGAUAUUUUAUCAGGAAAAAAUAUAAAACAGAUCUAAUUUCAUGAAAAUGCUGUUGCCAUAAUGCUCAGGAGAACAGGGGGAAGAGAGAGAUUCAAGUCUUCCUAAUGUCUACCUUAUAUGCAGAGCCUUGGAAAGAUGGGCAAAUGCUCUGUGACAAGCCACCAGGGUAGACUGGUACUGAAAAGACCCUACUACACACAGGGGCUCUGUCCCUGGCUGGAAAGUUACAAGUCAGCCUACCUCUCUGUGAUCUGGUUUCCACACCUACUACUCUUUAUCCCAUGAGGAGCUUCUGGAAACUAAAAUAGCAGCUGCCCAGGUAGAAGAGUGUUGACCAAAGGACACAUCACCAGCACAGACUGUUAAUCAUGUGACUAGAGAAAACUCUCAUGGUGGCAUUCAAAUUUCCAUAUCCUUCUUCUAUGGAAAUUUCUGAGAGACCCAGAAAAGAAGCGUAACGACGAGGGAAAGUGAUUCCUGCAGACCUGAACAUUCCAGACUUACCAGGUGAUCCAGCUGUCUGUCAGCGGGAAGAGGCUGAGGCGCCCCCUUCUGGUGCAUCUGAAUAGUAAGAAACCCUGUGUAGAAAGAAACCCUGUAGCAAUUGGGCACCUUCUCCGUGAUCUGUCUGCUUCCAAUACCAAAAAUUGUUGCUUUUUAAAUGACAUCCAUCCUAAGCUUAAAAAAGACGCAUAUUAUUUGUAUAAAAUGUUGAAGACGCAGAACAAAAAAUGUAAAUCACAUGUAAUCAUCCCUUCCAGAAAUAAUCGUUAUUAAAAUUUCUGUGUAUGUGUAAAAAAAAAAAUUGCAAUCCUACUGUAAUAUAAUCCUGUAUACUGAUAUUUUUCACCUAUCACUGUAUGUUGAGCAUUUUCAAUAGUCAAAUUAUUUCUUGAAAAUAUUAAUGACUGGGGAGUAACCUUUCAAAUAGGUGUGUCUUUAUUUUUAAACCAGUCCACAAUUAUUGUAUAUUGAAGUCAUUUCCCAAAUUUUGUAAGUAUAAGUAUUGCAUCCAUCCUUAUAUGUAUUUAAAUGCAUCUCUUAUUAUUUCCUUGAGAUAAGUUCCUAGAAGUGGAAUCACUGGAUUUAAAAAUGUGGACAUAUUUAUGCCAGACGCGGUGGGUCAUGCCUGUAAUCCCAGCACUUUGGGAGACUGAAGCAGGUGGAUCACUUGAGGUCAGGAGUUCAAGACCAGCCUGGCCAACAUAGUGAAACCCCAUCUCUACUAAAAUUACAAAAAUUAGCCGGGUGUGGUAGUGCACGCCUGUAAUCCCAGCUACUCAGGAGGCUGAGGCAUAAGAAUCACUUGAACUCAGGAGGCGGAGGUUGCAGUGAGCCAAGAUGGCACCACUGCGCUCCAGUCUGGGCGACAGAGUAAGACUUCAUCUCAAAAAUAAAUAAAUAAAAUUAAAAUUAAAUAAGAUAAAUAAAAAAUAAAAAUGUGGACAUAUUUAAAUCUUCAUAUAUAUUACCAAAUGCCCUCCUGAAAGUUUUUACCUGUUACAUUCCAACCAAUAGUGUAAGGGCAUGACUCUUUCCCUGUGUUUUGGGAUGGAUGUUAUCAAAGUUCUCUCCCACCCAGGCCAAGUAUGGUAUAUGCUUUGAUUUAAUUUGAAUUUUUAAAUUAUUAUUUAAAAUGGACAUUUUGUUGUCCAUUUGAACAACUUUCUUUUGAGUCACUGUUCAUGUUCUUUGCCCAUUGUUUCUCUUUUAUUAGUAAGAACCCUAUUGUCAUUUUUAUAUUUUAAAUAAAAUUUCAUUGUAUAUACAUUUAUAUUAUCUAUAGUAAAGUAUAUUUUAUUAUUAAUGAGAACUUUUUAUAUUAAAGAUCCUAACCUAC